GCGUAGGCGGUUUUUUAAGUCUGAUGUGAAAGCCCACGGCUCAACCGUGGAGGGUCAUUGGAAACUGGAAAACUUGAGUGCAGAAGAGGAAAGUGGAAUUCCAUGUGUAGCGGUGAAAUGCGCAGAGAUAUGGAGGAACACCAGUGGCGAAGGCGACUUUCUGGUCUGUAACUGACGCUGAUGUGCGAAAGCGUGGGGAUCAAACAGGAUUAGAUACCCUGGUAGUCCACGCCGUAAACGAUGAGUGCUAAGUGUUAGGGGGUUUCCGCCCCUUAGUGCUGCAGCUAACGCAUUAAGCACUCCGCCUGGGGGGUACGACCGCAAGGUUGAAACUCAAAGGAAUUGACGGGGACCCGCACAAGCGGUGGAGCAUGUGGUUUAGUUCGAAGCAACGCGAAGAACCUUACGAAAUCUUGAGAUCCUCUGACCCCUCUAGAGAUAGAGUUUUCCGCUUCGGGGGACAGAGUGACGGGUGGUGCAUGGUUGUCGUCAGCUCGUGUCGUGAGAUGUUGGGUUAAGUCCCGCAACGAGCGCAACCUUUAAGCUUAGUUGCCAUCAUUAAGUUGGGCACUCUAAGUUGACUGCCGGUGACAAACCGGAGGAAGGUGGGGAUGACGUCAAAUCAUCAUGCCCCUUAUGAUUUGGGCUACACACGUGCUACAAUGGACAAUACAAAGGGUAGCGAAACCGCGAGGUCAAGCAAAUCCCAUAAAGUUGUUCUCAGUUCGGAUUGUAGUCUGCAACUCGACUACAUGAAGCUGGAAUCGCUAGUAAUCGUAGA
This 781-nucleotide ribosomal RNA is filed under the name uncultured Staphylococcus sp. Its description in RNAcentral is "bacterial SSU rRNA". It matches the Rfam family "Bacterial small subunit ribosomal RNA", at positions 569 to 1348 of the family's 1533-position model. The record is from RNAcentral. Lineage: Bacteria; Bacillati; Bacillota; Bacilli; Caryophanales; Staphylococcaceae.